RNAcentral lists this ribosomal RNA (630 nucleotides) under Arthrobacter sp. 56(2013). Its description in RNAcentral is "bacterial SSU rRNA". It matches the Rfam family "Bacterial small subunit ribosomal RNA", at positions 69 to 713 of the family's 1533-position model. Lineage: Bacteria; Bacillati; Actinomycetota; Actinomycetes; Micrococcales; Micrococcaceae. The record is from RNAcentral.
AUGAUGGGAGCUUGCUCCUGGAUUAGUGGCGAACGGGUGAGUAACACGUGAGUAACCUGCCCUUAACUCUGGGAUAAGCCUGGGAAACUGGGUCUAAUACCGGAUAUGACUCCUCAUCGCAUGGUGGGGGGUGGAAAGCUUUUUGUGGUUUUGGAUGGACUCGCGGCCUAUCAGCUUGUUGGUGAGGUAAUGGCUUACCAAGGCGACGACGGGUAGCCGGCCUGAGAGGGUGACCGGCCACACUGGGACUGAGACACGGCCCAGACUCCUACGGGAGGCAGCAGUGGGGAAUAUUGCACAAUGGGCGCAAGCCUGAUGCAGCGACGCCGCGUGAGGGAUGACGGCCUUCGGGUUGUAAACCUCUUUCAGUAGGGAAGAAGCGAAAGUGACGGUACCUGCAGAAGAAGCGCCGGCUAACUACGUGCCAGCAGCCGCGGUAAUACGUAGGGCGCAAGCGUUAUCCGGAAUUAUUGGGCGUAAAGAGCUCGUAGGCGGUUUGUCGCGUCUGCCGUGAAAGUCCGGGGCUCAACUCCGGAUCUGCGGUGGGUACGGGCAGACUAGAGUGAUGUAGGGGAGACUGGAAUUCCUGGUGUAGCGGUGAAAUGCGCAGAUAUCAGGAGGAACACCGAU